ACGAGUAAAAUUGGUGAGGCGAAUUUUGUAUGGUGUGCAGUUUGAAAAAAUUCUUCGUUGAGGAUAGAUCGCUAUUUUUUAGGACUAACUCAAAUUCGAACGAGUUCAACGAAUAUUUCUUGUGCUUGUAAGACACAAACAAAAAAUCGAUCAAAAUGUUCAAAAAUCAUUUGGAAAUGAUCGGGCGCAACGAGAGCCCCAGCAAGAAGGCCAAAUUCUGGCAAUCCUACAUCAGAUCCCUGAAGGGUUCCGAGGAUAUUCGCGCUCAUGAGACGCCAAGCGCAAGACGCCCAUACAGCUCAUACCUGGAGUCGCCCACAUACAGGAGCAUCUAUGAUGAGCCAGCCACUGCCAACGAGCGUGUGCAGUCAUCUGGCUACAGAUACUUGCCAGUGAGCCGUGAUACCUAUGGCUACUCGCCACGUGCCAUCUAUGAUCAUCAUUACAGCAGAACAAUUCCAGCAAACUACGAUGCAGAGAAGGCCUGGAAUGAUCAUCUGAAGCGCAUGCAAGAAAUUGAGCGCAGAUAUCCAUCUCGCUAUGGUCUUUACUUGAGAGACAAGCCACUGACACCAAACUCUUUGGUGCCUUUGGAAUACGAGCCAGAGGAUAAGCUGCUGGCAGAGCUCAACAAGGCACGCCGCUCGGCCUCGCCUUUCCGCCCCAGCCGCACCACACGCGCUGGCAGCGAACCUUAUGUGCCAGCUCCAGCUUACUGGAACCGCGAGGGCAGCGUGCCACGCGGCCCGUCUGUGUUUGAUCGCGCCACCAGCCUGGCUCCGUUCACGCGACCAAGCUUCCGUGCCAGCUCGCUGGAACCAUUGGAUGAACUCUUUGAAAGUAAGUUGCCCGAGCCAGCAGCACAGGCUGCCGCCAUUAGGCCAAGCAUUUUUGAGCGCGCCGGCUCGCCAAGUCCCACUCCUGUCAAAGCCGGUCGCUGGGGACCGCGUCCCACUGAAGUCGCCUACGAUGCUGAGGGACUCCCAAUCUUUCAUCCACGCAACCGCAUUCGGGAUAUGCUGAGCCCCAGCCCCAACAUGCCCAUCUCAUCGAUUGUGCGCGAUCCCUUCUGGUGGGAUGUGGAUGAUCUGGUGCCCUUCCGUGCCCUCUCGGUGCCCCGUGCCUCGAGCCCAGUGGCCCGUGAUUCGUACUUGUCGCCGGUGAAGAAUCGCUACCUGUGGUCCAGGCAUCCCGCUAGACCCUUGACACCUGAGGCAGAGGAUUUUUUCUAAAAUAAAUAAGAACUUAAAUGAAAAAAAAAAAAACAAAAACUAUUCAAAAAAAAAUAUCGUUAGCUCUAAUAACAUGCGACGCUAUAUCAUAUAGCACAUCUGUAAUUUUUUUGUAUUAUAAUUUACAUAAAUUACAUAUAACGAAAUGCAAUACAAAACAAAUUGCUCACCGCUCGAUUUUGUAAACGAACGACAACGAACUAUACAACAUCAACACCAACAACAACAACAAGAACAACAACGAAUGCAUUAAUGGGGUCCCCAAACAACGACAAGCUGCUGAUUUCCAAACUGAAGAACCUGGAAAUCAGCUUAAAGUAGCUCAUCAAACUGUAGUCUCAACAUCCUCAAAGAAAACGAUUGAAUUUUUUCAUAACUGCCUGCCCCAAACUAACAGCUCCGGGGCUGUCAAUAAAAUUAUUGCCACAAGUGUUUACUUCCCGUAGUAACAAAAAAAAAAAA
Drosophila busckii is the source of this 1694-nucleotide RNA transcript. RefSeq lists it as uncharacterized. The transcript has 9 exons. The record is from RefSeq and is a predicted model, not a curated record. NCBI's taxonomy places the organism in Eukaryota, Metazoa, Arthropoda, Insecta, Diptera, Drosophilidae.